AACGCACAUUGCGCCCUCUGGUAUUCCGGAGGGCAUGCCUGCUCGAGCGUCAUUUAAACCCCCAAGCCUCGCUUGGUCUUGGGUGCCCGGCCCCCUAGGGCCCACCCGCAACCAGUUUUGGCGGUACCGACCGGCUUCAAGCGUAGCAAGAAUUUCGCUUCCGGAGCUGUGCCGGCGCCUGCCAGGGAACAUCUUCCAGAGUUUGACCUCGGAUCAGGUAGGGAUACCCGCUGAACUUAA
RNAcentral lists this unclassified non-coding RNA (240 nucleotides) under uncultured fungus. RNAcentral's name for it is "partial contains 5.8S ribosomal RNA, internal transcribed spacer 2, and large subunit ribosomal RNA". The stretch from base 1 to 52 matches the Rfam family "5.8S ribosomal RNA", at positions 103 to 154 of the family's 154-position model. Lineage: Eukaryota; Fungi. The record is from RNAcentral.